RNAcentral lists this ribosomal RNA (663 nucleotides) under uncultured Enterobacterales bacterium. Its description in RNAcentral is "bacterial SSU rRNA". It matches the Rfam family "Bacterial small subunit ribosomal RNA", at positions 65 to 723 of the family's 1533-position model. The record is from RNAcentral. Lineage: Bacteria; Pseudomonadati; Pseudomonadota; Gammaproteobacteria; Enterobacterales.
AACAGGAAGAAGCUUGCUUCUUUGCUGACGAGUGGCGGACGGGUGAGUAAUGUCUGGGAAACUGCCUGAUGGAGGGGGAUAACUACUGGAAACGGUAGCUAAUACCGCAUAACGUCGCAAGACCAAAGAGGGGGACCUUCGGGCCUCUUGCCAUCGGAUGUGCCCAGAUGGGAUUAGCUAGUAGGUGGGGUAACGGCUCACCUAGGCGACGAUCCCUAGCUGGUCUGAGAGGAUGACCAGCCACACUGGAACUGAGACACGGUCCAGACUCCUACGGGAGGCAGCAGUGGGGAAUAUUGCACAAUGGGCGCAAGCCUGAUGCAGCCAUGCCGCGUGUAUGAAGAAGGCCUUCGGGUUGUAAAGUACUUUCAGCGGGGAGGAAGGGAGUAAAGUUAAUACCUUUGCUCAUUGACGUUACCCGCAGAAGAAGCACCGGCUAACUCCGUGCCAGCAGCCGCGGUAAUACGGAGGGUGCAAGCGUUAAUCGGAAUUACUGGGCGUAAAGCGCACGCAGGCGGUUUGUUAAGUCAGAUGUGAAAUCCCCGGGCUCAACAUGGGAACUGCAUCUGAUACUGGCAAGCUUGAGUCUCGUAGAGGGGGGUAGAAUUCCAGGUGUAGCGGUGAAAUGCGUAGAGAUCUGGAGGAAUACCGGUGGCGAAGGCG